This 1842-nucleotide long non-coding RNA is filed under the name Equus asinus (donkey). Its description in RNAcentral is "lncRNA (ENSEASG00005026497.1)". The record is from RNAcentral. Lineage: Eukaryota; Metazoa; Chordata; Mammalia; Perissodactyla; Equidae.
GUAAUACAUACCCUGCCACUCUCCUCAUCUUCCCAUAAAGGUGUUACAGCCUCCCCCAUUGCCCCUCAGUUCCCUUUGAGAUUGCUACUAAGGGGCUGCAUGUGAGGUUAAGAGUGUAGGGUCUAGGGCUCGAUUUCUGGGUUUCAAAUCAUGGCUCCAGCAUUUACUGAUGGGAGACCCUGGGCAAGCUUCUUCACCUUUCCACGCCUCAGUUUCCACACCUCUAAGAUGAGAACAUGAUGCACUUAUUUCAUAAGGUUGUUGUGAGGUCUAAAUAAGCUAAUUCUUAAGUCGAGUUCCCCCGGGAAACGGGAAACUCUGUUCCUCUGAGGCAGAGACUUGCUAGGGAGAGUUCUUGGAAGAGAGAGAGAGUGAGGGAAGCAGGGUUGGGCAGAGGGAGGAGCUGAAUGCCUUGCUGUUGCAACAGAGAUGGAAGCUGUUCCCAGGGGAUGCUCUGGAGUGGCACAGCCCUUCGGAGCUGUCCCCCACUGAGGCAAAGGGGCAGGCCUUUCAUCGGAUGCAGUUGCCCCAAGAAGACGGCCUAAUCUUAAGCAAGCUCUGUCAAGAGUAGCUCCUGGAGCGAGUGCACUGGGAGCCUACAGCAGAUAACAUGCUGGAAGAUGGGGGAUGAGAGCCUCCGUCCAAAACAGGGAUCUGGGCUUUGUGCCACAGCACAUGCACAUAAGGCACUUAGACUAGCACUCAACAUGUUAUCGGCAGCCACUAAAUGUUAGCUCUCGGAUUUACUUAAUACAGGGAUUGCUAGACAAUAAGGAAAAGUGGUGAGUUUUUUCUCGUCUCUUGGAAUUUAAGUUUUUAUUUCAUGAGGGGCAUCUAAGAGUUGCUGUUCCUCAGCAAGGCCUAGACGUAAACGGUUAGAAAGGAGAGAAACAAGAGGAGAAGAGGUUCCCCACCUUAGAGAACUCAGUGAGAAGGCUCAGAAAAGCUGGUCAGGGAAGAAAAGAGAAAAGCCACAGAGGAGAAGAGAAGAAGAAAGCCUGUGAGACAGUCGUUGAGGCAUUGCUAGAGCAAGAGAGGUCCAAAUGGGAAUAAUGUGUGGGGUCUUUGUCAAAGCAGAUUCCGUUGUUAAGCCAGGGCCUGCAGAAGAUGACCCAGUUGGUCAAAACAUAAUGCGCUCUGAAGAGCCAGAGUCCACCCUUUGCCAACCUCCCAGUUGCUUAGUGGGUUGGUCAGUGGAGCACAGGGGCAGGUCCAGCAGCAGCUCACACACCGGCAGCGCCAUCUCAGACGCCAGCAUCCCACCCUCACCCCCGUCUCGCUGACCUAGGCUCUUGUUCUUCCUCUCUCACGAGUCCAGGGAUACCGCAGCCCACCCGGCCCCAUCAGCAGGACGUUCUGCUGGAGGAGUCUGUCAGCUGAGGAAAACUCGGAGUUGAGCUGCUUUGCCCUGCCACCCUUUCCAGCUGUGCUUCCCCAUCCCUCUGCUCGUGGAGGACCCUGAUUCCCACCUGCAGGGACCCCAAGGGCAGCAUCCAAGGGAGGCAGGUCUCCAGCUCCCAAAGUCUUUCGGGUGUGCUGGGCCCUGGGGGACCUUUGCUCCUCCUCCGCCUCCUGGGAGCCUGACAGCGGGUAGAUGGCGCCUGUGGUGUUGAUGCUUUCUUGGUUGUCGCAUGCUGGCUGUAGCCCUUUGCAGGCCCUACGCUUGGUGAUUUGUGGUCUGCACGUGCACAGGAGCUUGCCUGCCUGGCUGCGAUGGUCUGCUUUACCCCAUACCAUAACUGUCGGCCUGCCUCAGACUCUUGAAUUCUCCCUGACUGCCAGUGCCCAGGUCACCCCGCAGUGUGCCUGUCCUGGGCCUCUCCCCACACUUGCCACGUGCUG